AGAGAGAGACAUGCGCGCAUAUCAAUAAGCGGAGGAAAAGAAACUAACUAGGAUUCCCUCAGUAACGGCGAGUGAAGCGGGAAGAGCUCAAAUUUGAAAUCUUCAAGGUUCUACCUUGACGAAUUGUAGUUUAAAGAAGUGUUUUCUGUUGGAGUUUUGGUAAAAGUUCUUUGGAAUAGGACAUCAUAGAGGGUGAGAAUCCCGUAUUUGACCAUUAUUUCCAGCUUUGUGAUACACUUUCAAAGAGUCGGAUUGUUUGGGAAUGCAGUCCAAAAUGGGUGGUAAAUUUCAUCUAAAGCUAAAUACUGGCGAGAGACCGAUAGCGAACAAGUACCGUGAGGGAAAGAUGAAAAGAACUUCGAAAAGAGAGUUAAACAGUACGUGAAAUUGUCAAAAGGGAAGCGUUUGACACCAGUGUUGUUUUCUCGAAAAUCAAUUAAAAAUGGCUGGAUUUUGUGUUGUAUUGACUUUAUCAGCUUUCUGCACUCUUUUUCCUGUCUUUUUUAAUGCACUUUUCGUUUAACAAGUCAACAUCAAUUUCUUUUGUUGUAAAAGGGUCAUUGGAAGGUGGCUUUCUUUUCGGAGAAAGUGUUUAUAGCCUUUGGCCUCUGCAAUCGGAGAGAUUGAGGUCUGCAGCGUAGAUCCUUCGGGGUUAGAUACAUUUGUGCUAAGCUUAUAGCCUUUCAUAGACAACUUGUUGACUAUGAUCAGUCAUGUAGCUUACUCGCUUAUGCUAUUUUACCUACGCUUAGGAUGUUGACAGCAGUAUAGACUGU
RNAcentral lists this ribosomal RNA (776 nucleotides) under uncultured Neocallimastigales. Its description in RNAcentral is "partial large subunit ribosomal RNA". It matches the Rfam family "Eukaryotic large subunit ribosomal RNA", at positions 23 to 633 of the family's 3401-position model. The record is from RNAcentral. Lineage: Eukaryota; Fungi; Neocallimastigomycota; Neocallimastigomycetes; Neocallimastigales.